GACGAACGCUGGCGGCGUGCUUAACACAUGCAAGUCGAACGGAAAGGCCCUGCUUUUGUGGGGUGCUCGAGUGGCGAACGGGUGAGUAACACGUGAGUAACCUGCCCUUGACUUUGGGAUAACUUCAGGAAACUGGGGCUAAUAUAGGAUAGGAGCUCCUGCUGCAUGGUGGGGGUUGGAAAGUUUCGGCGGUUGGGGAUGGACUCGCGGCUUAUCAGCUUGUUGGUGGGGUAGUGGCUUACCAAGGCUUUGACGGGUAGCCGGCCUGGGAGGGUGAACGGGCACAUUGGGACUGAGGUACGGCGCAGACUCCUACGGUAGGCAGCAGGGGGGAGUAUGGCACAGUGGGCGGGAGCCUGAUGCGGCGGCGCCGCGUGCGGAAUGACGGCUUUCGGGGUGUGAACCGCUUUCGCCUGUGACGAAGCGUGAGUGACGGUAAUGGGUAAAGAAGCACCGGCUAACUACGUG
This 468-nucleotide ribosomal RNA is filed under the name uncultured bacterium. Its description in RNAcentral is "partial 16S ribosomal RNA". It matches the Rfam family "Bacterial small subunit ribosomal RNA", at positions 28 to 507 of the family's 1533-position model. The record is from RNAcentral.